This is a non-coding RNA of Dallia pectoralis (Alaska blackfish), 74 nucleotides long. The record is from the annotation of a GenBank genome assembly. Lineage: Eukaryota; Metazoa; Chordata; Actinopteri; Esociformes; Umbridae.
AUCUGUUUGGAGUAGUGGUUAGGGUGCUCGGCUGUGGAUCCGGAAGGCGCUUGUUCGAUUCACCCCACCAGAUG